RNAcentral lists this ribosomal RNA (503 nucleotides) under Hylophorbus wondiwoi. RNAcentral describes it as "partial 16S ribosomal RNA". The record is from RNAcentral. Lineage: Eukaryota; Metazoa; Chordata; Amphibia; Anura; Microhylidae.
UAGAGAUAGCUGGUUAUUCAGGAAAGGGAUCUUAGUCCGAUUUUAACCCUUUACGUAACAUUAAAUACUCUUAUAGGCUUAAAAUUUAGUCAAAUAAGGUACAGCCUAUUUGAAACAGGAUACAACCUCCAACAGAGGGUAAUGUUUAGACAAUGCGACCAAGUAGGCCCAAAAGCAGCCAUCUUUUAAAAAGCGUUAAAGCCUUAUCACACUAAUCAUUAAUACCAACCUUAAUCCAAACCCCCUCACCACUACUGAAUGACUUCAUAUCUAUAUGACAGCCCUUAUGUUAAAACUAGUAACAAGAAUAAUAAUUCUCCUAUAAUGUAAGUGUAAGCCGAAAUGGACCACCCAUCGGCACUUACCGCCAAUGAACCCACAGUAACAACCCCCCUCAAGAAAACCUUACUCUCCCUAACGUUAACCUCACACAAGAACAUUUCUGGAAAGAAUUAAAAAAAGAGGAAGGAACUCGGCAAACAUUAACCCCGCCUGUUUACCAA